GAAAUGCGAUAAGUAGUGUGAAUUGCAGAAUUCCGUGAAUCAUCGAAUCUUUGAACGCACAUUGCGCCCCCUGGCAUUCCGGGGGGCAUGCCUGUCCGAGCGUCAUUUCUGCCCUCAAGCGCGGCUUGUGUGUUGGGUGUGGUCCCCCCGGUGUUGGGGGGACCUGCCCGAAAGGCAGCGGCGACGUCCCGUCUAGGUCCUCGAGCGUAUGGGGCUUUGUCACCCGCUCGGGAGGGGCCUGCGGGCGUUGGCCACCCACGAUAUUUUUUUACCGUUGACCUCGGAUCAGGUAGGAGUUACCCGCUGAACUUAAGC
Molecule: unclassified non-coding RNA, 315 nt
Filed under: plant metagenome
Description: partial contains 5.8S ribosomal RNA, internal transcribed spacer 2, and large subunit ribosomal RNA
Rfam family: 5.8S ribosomal RNA (bases 1-105)
Source: RNAcentral